UACAGAGGGUGCAAGCGUUAAUCGGAAUUACUGGGCGUAAAGGGCGCGUAGGCGGAUUUGUAAGUUAUGUGUGAAAUCUCUGGGCUUAACCUGGGAACUGCACAUAAUACUGUAAGUCUAGAGUAGAGUAGAGGAAAGUGGAAUUUCCGGUGUAGCGGUGAAAUGCGUAGAUAUCGGAAGGAACACCAGUGGCGAAGGCGGCUUUCUGGACUCAUACUGACGCUGAGGCGCGAAAGCGUGGGGAGCAAACAGG
Molecule: ribosomal RNA, 253 nt
Filed under: uncultured bacterium
Lineage: Bacteria
Description: partial 16S ribosomal RNA
Rfam family: Bacterial small subunit ribosomal RNA
Source: RNAcentral